CAAAAACAGCUGUGGGGAAAAGGCAGAAGGGGGUCUAUCUUUGUUGAAUUUUGGUAUUGAUUUUAUGUGUCAGUACCUGAGAAGUAGAGAAGUCCUUGAGUUGUUGUGUAAAUGUGGCUCAAGUGAGAUGCUGAACAGUGCCAGCCAUGUGGACUCUGCCACGGUGAAGGAGGAAGGAAAAAAAUAUAAUAUUGGAUCAGCUGUGUGUCAGGCAUCUGAGGUUCUAACCAUAGCUCCAUUACUACCAGUCUGUGUGACUUGGGGAAUGCUGCUUACCUUCUUUGAGACUCAUUUUCUUCAUUACAAGAUAAAGAGCUUGCUAGGCAGCACUGAGGAGUAAAGGAAUAUUUGGGAGGAUCAGAAGCUUGGUCCUGAUUUUGCCAUCAACCAGGACCUUGAUGACUUCAAGGGAGUCCCCAAACCCUGGGUUUCUGUUUUCUCAACUCUAACAUGAGGGGCUAGACGCAUCUGGUUUAGUUCGUCUCCAUGAUCCUGUGAAUUUCAGAUGUUGAAAAUCUUCAGAAAAGCCCUGAAAGAUGAAGAGUGGUCUCAAAUAGUCAAGACCCCCUGCUGGGGGGAGCGUCUAUCCUGCUCUGUGG
This 599-nucleotide non-coding RNA is filed under the name Pongo abelii (Sumatran orangutan). Lineage: Eukaryota; Metazoa; Chordata; Mammalia; Primates; Hominidae. The record is from RNAcentral.